Long non-coding RNA from Electrophorus electricus (electric eel), 736 nucleotides. RefSeq lists it as uncharacterized. Lineage: Eukaryota; Metazoa; Chordata; Actinopteri; Gymnotiformes; Gymnotidae. The record is from RefSeq and is a predicted model, not a curated record.
UUCGAGUCCAAGCCUCCAGUGAGCAAGCCAAGGGUGAUGGUGGCAAGGAAAAACUCCCUAGAGCAUGAGUGUUACGUGCCGUGUUCUUUUGGUGCGUGUGUUCUAGAUUCACUGCCAGGAUUUCCCCCUGUUUGAGACUCUGCCCCAUUCCUCGCCGGGUUUUCCAGCAAACUGCUUCUGCUAUUUAAUGGCCCCUCCCAGAAGAGGAAGAGAGGAAAAGAAGGGAGACUGUUUUUGUUGGUUUUGCGUUUUCUGGUUGUUUGGCUUGUUAUUGCAAUUUUGUCUGACCUCGUUUUCCCCAUUUUAGACUUCAUCUUUGGCUUCACCCCUCCUGCUUCGGUAGCUGUUUUAUAGGUUUGUUUAGGGUGUAUUUCUUUUUUCCAUUAGUGUGGGUUUUGUUUAUUGUUUUUGCCUGGGUCACUCCUGAAGAAAUUGCACCACAUAGAUGGGGUCGUAACAUGAGGAAGAAAGCUUGUGAGGAACCAUGAUGUGCCAACGUCUGAUACAGAUUCCUGUUCAAGGCCUUGCAAUCCAGAAUGGAUCCGCUUUUCUGGAAAAGGAAAUCUACUCUCUGCAGAGGCCAAUAUACAUCUGCAUUUGACCACUCCUUUUCUGAAGUGGGCAGCAUUUUCAGUAGAAGUACUGCUCUUCUGGUGUUCUCUUGCACUGAGGGGACAAAACAACUGCAAUGAGCACAGGACUGACCUUCAUCACCCCUUGCUGAAUGAGAGGGGAG